UUUUGCUUUUAAGUACCUGUUGCUUUUAAAAACUAUUUAAAAAGUCACUACAAUUAUAAACUUGCUUUUGUGUCUGUCCUCACAACAAUAAAAACUAAUAUACACAACUUUUGUUUAUCCAGAAUCUCCAUUUGAACAAUUAUUGACAGAUGAUUUUAACACCCAAUCAGAUCCCGUAUAACGUCCCAAUUCAUACCAUACUGUAGGUGUGAGCAUGCGUCGUGCUUACAGAAGUAUAACUUCAAAAGUCAAAGUUAUGCCUGUCACCUGAAGAGGGAUCGCGUAAAGUUCGAAACAUUGAUGUUAUAAUAUACUAUGAUUAUUUUAAAAAUCGUCAUGCCUGAGCUUUUCGUUAAUGUGCUAAAAAUAAAUAAGUUAAUAUGGGGGUAACACUUAUUCCAGUGUCCAGUGCAGUGUAUAAAAUAUAAUAAUAAUGUCAGUACUACACAAUGGCUACCAUUUUACAUUGAACAGCUGUUACUGACAAUUUUGAAAUAAUGAAGAAAGUAGCUAAACGGAAAAAGUCCGAAGCGACCUCUAUAUUAUUAAGUAAUAAUCAAAAAAUUUUAAAAUUUUUGAAAUUAUAAUGUUCUGCCGCAGCUUCUGCAUACGUCAUAGCUAUUGACUUUUCUUCAUUCGUGUUACUAUAUUUUGUUAUUUUGGCUGGUUGAGGUGUGUUUAUUUUGCCAGGGGCACUUCUGUCUUGAGGAAAUAUGUGAUUUAUGAUGUCAAGAUAUACCUGGCAUCAUUUGUAGUUUGAGAGAUGCGCUCCUCUGCAAAUGGGCUUUUUAGUUCUCAUACUUUUAUGGCGGAGAUAUUGGGCAAAAAUGGUUCCCGUUUAAAAUCAAAAUGACGGCUAACGCAACGGCGGAAUUCAGUCGAGAUUUUAAAUUUACACUACUAUUAACCCUCCCUAAAGAUUAGAAAAAUAAAAUUUGGGGAAACUUGGCAUGCAAGGUUAUGACUAUUACAUAUUUGUCUAACUCGACUGGACUAGCCCUGCUAUCUUUGUUAUCUACCACAUACGAAAAUUAUUGUAAGGAAAAAAGUUGAGCGUCUUGUCAAAAUGAAGUUACUCAAGAAAAAUUAGCUUGUUAUACUCUUUCUCAGAGGCAUCUUUCGAUGCGUCACAGUUUUUCGAUUUCUUUUUAACGCAUUAAGGGCGGAGUCCCAUGUAUCCGAUUUCCGACAUAUUGAUGGCUUAGUGUGAAAACCUCGUAUCUCAUUAAAUUACAAUUUUACAGGAGAGGCAAAAAACUGUUUUUCUGCAUAAUAUAACCUAAAAACAAAAAUUACGUUACGUAUUUUUAAUUCGAGCACAUUGAGACAAAUAUCUGAUAUUGGCCUAGAGCUAAAAGUGUUAAAUGUUGCUAUUAAAUUGGAAAUACAAAUAUUAACUAUGAAAAACACGUAAAUAUCCUUGCAGUAUAUAGAGCCUUUGCCCAAGUAACUAUGAUAAACUCGUAUAUCUUGAUAUACGUGUUUUUCAUCUCAAAUGAAGUUGUUUAUUAUUAUUUACGAGGUUUUCAUUUUGUCAUAGCUUAUUGCACACCUCCAAAUACUAGGUCGAUACAAUACAAAUCUUUUGUUAUAUAUGCCGAACAUAAAAUGUUUCUAUAUGCCGGACUACCUUUUGUUGUUCACAAAAAAACAUUUCUGCAAGUCGAAUCUCUCAAACAAACACUCCAGAUUAAGUACCAAAUUCUUGGUUAUAAAUAUACAUACGUGGUAUUCACACUAAAUCAAGAGAGCAAUUGAUAUACGUGGUUUCUUUUUUCGGUUGUAGAAAAUAGUCUAGUGUAUUUCGAUUUUUGAAGUUAUACUUCUUUAGGCGCGAUUGAGAGUAAAAUUUCAUAAUACUGCGCGCAUGCGCACAUAGGCAGUAUGGCGUUUAGUCGCUAAAUCCUUCUAGUUAUGUAUAAAUAUAUCAGUGCAAGAAAAGGUGUGAAAAGAAUAUAUUAGUGAUUAGUGUUUUUAGUAAAUAUAUUUAUUAUAAUUUUUGUGUCUUUGGAUUUGUCUUCCUCAGGAGUAAGAUGAGUAUUAUUAAAACAUUUUAUUGUCUAUUUAUUCACCUUGUCUGUUUGUUACCGUGAAUUGUCAUUAGGUACGUCCGAACCGACACAGACACAGUCUUCGUAGCGUAUUUGGUAUAGCAUUCGGCCAGAGAUCGAGAGGUCUUGAGUUCGAAUCCAGUGCAAUCCUAUACUUUUUUUUUUAUUUUUUUGAAAGAGGUAAGCACUAAAGUAGUUUGGUGUUUAAAAAAAAUUAAAACAAACUGUUUAAAGUAUAUUUAUUUUUAAGAAAUCAUAUAAUAGAGGUAUAACUUCUUACGUGCGUACAAAGUACACACACAUUCUUUUUUCCUAACAGUUGUAAAUCGUGAGAUACAGAUACAAGGUUUUCAAACUAAAACCACCAAUAUGUCAUUUUCGAAAAAAUUAGAUACGAGGUUUUCACACUAAGCCAUCGAUAUGAAAAUCGUCUCUUUUCCAGUUGCUAUUUAGACGCUAGUCACAUGGUUGCGAUUGUCGGUUGCGAAAAUCCCUAUAAAAACUGUCAAUUUUUUGUUUAUUGUUUGGUUAGUAAUUGUUGUUUUACUGUGCAUUGGAACUAUUCCCUUCUCCUGCUUUAUAAAUUAUUGUGGCUAUUAUGGAUAACCUAGAAAAAACUAUGGAAGAGAUAAUAUCUCCAAUCUCUUAAUCUCUUCCAUUAGGCAAUCCAAACCACGUGACCUCUGGUUGGCACACACUAACAAAGAGGUUAUGUUUGCAUCUAUUUUUCAAUGAUUUUUCAUUGUUUAUCGUCGUAUUUUGGAUUCAUUUGGAAUUCGUUUCCUGUUUUUGUGAACUUUAUAAACUUUACCACAAUGCAAACUGAUUAUUUAAGGAAAUUAUUAUUGGAAACUCCAGAUGUUGCGAGAAAGGUAGGCGAAACAAUUUUUUUUACUGUUCAUUUUGCCCCGAUAUUUAUCAAUAAUGAUGAAUUUUGCAAGCAAUAACAUUAUUUCUUUUAUUGUUCUAGAUAUUUAUUGAAGCUGAAAAUAAUUGGGGAUUUAGAUCCAUACGCAAUUCAGUCAGAAUUAGAUUUUACAGUAAAGUGCAGUCCAUCAAGUUACUAUUAUAGAUAUUUAUACAUAUCUGGUGGAGUCUGAUAUGUCACAGUUGCUACUCUAAGCAGCAGAUGAAAGCAUACAAAAGCCUUCAGGCACAUAAAUAUUUUACAGCUGGAUUUGUUUUGAAUGGAGUAAAAAUUGUUAAUGAUUUCCUGAUUUCCAUAUUAUUGUGGGAAAGGUGAAGCAUUUCCAAAAAUCCAAUGCUAAACGACUAAAUGCUUGGGUGGGGUGAUAGCCAGUUCUGAUGACAUAGCAAAUUCACAUUGUAUGCGUAUGGCCGGUAAUAGCCAUAUUGCAGCAAUCCUAUUUUUAGCUUAGUAUGCUCAGGGCAAGACAGACGAAGAACCCAAUGUAUGUACAUAUGUUACAGCUACAUGGUUUGGAGAUAGCAACAUAUGCAUUCUCUGAUGAAAAACUAAUGAGUUUUGAAACUGUUCGGUCAGAGUGCUUGUUGCGCUCACUAAACGAAUUGAAAUAUAAGAUGGCUUUGGCAUUGUGUUGCAGCGAUAUGAAAAUGGUUAUUCAUUUUUAAUUAUAAUGUACUUCUUCAUCAUGAGUAAUUAUGUAUUGGUCUUUUAAAUGUGUAUUUAUUUUUGUAAUUAGUAUCAACUUGUAAUAAUAAUAUUCAUUUAUCGUUUAAGGUAUGACUAUGUUUUGACUCUAAAAUAAAUGUUUUAAAAAACCAAA
Molecule: long non-coding RNA, 3799 nt
Organism: Diabrotica virgifera virgifera (western corn rootworm)
Lineage: Eukaryota; Metazoa; Arthropoda; Insecta; Coleoptera; Chrysomelidae
Exons: 2
Source: RefSeq, a predicted model, not a curated record